CCACUUGUGCAGAAACAGGCCUGGGCAUCGCUUCCUCUUUCCUAAUGACGUCAGCAUGAAUAGGAAGCGUGAGAGGCUCGCUGGCUCGCUGCCGCCUAGAGACUCCAGCAGAAGGCUCGCCUGUCCCAUCACAAAGAGAAUAGAAGCAUUGGAGCUGACAGUCUCUGAGAUCCCUUCCAGCUCUGACACAUAGAUUUAGAAGCCUGUGUUUAGGUGUUUGUGUGUAUGGAGGUUUGAGAAAUUCUGAGGAAGAAAAACCAAGACACCUGACUGCUCUCUUCAUACCGUAUCAGGGAGGCAAAUGGCUCAGCCUCCUGGAGAGAAAAAGGAAGAGACAGGAUGAAAUGGGCAGCAGAUACCAAGUACAUGGUGUUGGCUGAGCCUGGAAGAAGGAACUGCAGUGCGUGGAAGACCACAGGGCUGUGAGAAAGGUCUGGCUCCAGGGCGGACCUGACCCACAGGCAGAAACCACUGGCGGCCCCUGCUCAUUCAGAGCGGACCUGGACAUGGCGCUGACCCCAUGGCUGCUCCCAAUAGCCCUGCUGGCUCUGUGCUGGGG
This is a long non-coding RNA of Hipposideros armiger (great roundleaf bat), 559 nucleotides long. RefSeq lists it as uncharacterized. Lineage: Eukaryota; Metazoa; Chordata; Mammalia; Chiroptera; Hipposideridae. The transcript has 4 exons. The record is from RefSeq and is a predicted model, not a curated record.